UAGAUACCCUGGUAGUCCAUGCCGUAAACGUUGGGCACUAGGUGUGGGGCCUGUUUCCACGGGUUCUGCGCCGUAGCUAACGCAUUAAGUGCCCCGCCUGGGGAGUACGGCCGCAAGGCUAAAACUCAAAGGAAUUGACGGGGGCCCGCACAAGCGGCGGAGCAUGCGGAUUAAUUCGAUGCAACGCGAAGAACCUUACCAAGGCUUGACAUACACCGGAAUCAUGCAGAGAUGUGUGAGCCCUUGUGGC
RNAcentral lists this ribosomal RNA (250 nucleotides) under uncultured bacterium. Its description in RNAcentral is "partial 16S ribosomal RNA". It matches the Rfam family "Bacterial small subunit ribosomal RNA", at positions 779 to 1027 of the family's 1533-position model. The record is from RNAcentral.